GAAGAACUACGUUCCCCAGAAGGCUGUUCGAGUACUGUUGUAAUUCCUGCUCAGGGGAACAGAUAUAAGGCCUGUAGGUCACCUGACCUGAGUAGCCUUCUUUCUUUCUUCUCGUCUCAUCAUGCUCGCUUUUGGUUCGUCUCGCUGCUGCUCCUGACUGCACGCAAGGCUUCAGUAUUAGUAUGUCUACAGGGCAAGUUGAAACCAGUUUGGGGGAUACCCCCCCCUUCAGGGUCAGAAGUUUGCAGUGAGGAAGACCACAAGCCUUCGUGAGGAAGACUAUGAGCCUUCAUCAUCAUGACCUACUACGCAUGUGCAAGUUGACGUUGGAUCAGAUCCAGAACAGAAGUUUUAUAUUAAGCACCUCUGCAUACUGCUGUCAGCUUGCACCAAAUUCAGCAGAAUGCUGCUGAUAACCAUGGAAGCUCUAUAAUGAAAACUCAGACAUCCUUUACUUUCCUUCCUGCCCUUUCUGAUGCUUCUCAACAACACUGAAAGUUACUACCUGUGAUCAAGUUCAGUCACCACUGCCCCUGACCAUCAAAAGUAAUGGUGAAUUACAGUCAACCGUGAAUAAUAAAUUAUCCCUGAAAAUACUCCACUUAAACCUAAAUGUUUCAAUUUGUGUUUUGUCAUAGAAGACUAGGAGAAAACAAAGAAUAAGAGGUCAAAAUACACACAUUGUUUUUGGGGGACUUUUGUUGUUGUUGUUGUUUUGUUUUUGAGUAAAUACAAUACAAAGCCAGCUGUGAAGAUGCUUUAAAUACAUACAUACCUGUGUGCACCAUUAAUGUGUAGAUAUGAAUGACCGUUUAGUAACUUAAGGCCUUCUACAGUGAUCAACUUAUGAAUCCUACAUGAAGAAAUAGAAAUAAAUCAGGCACACAGUCAUAUUUACAGUUUAGUCUAAAGUUCUUUCAUGCAUAAAAAUUCAAAACAAUUAUGCACUUGAGUUUGAGAGUAAGUGAAAUUACAGAAUAUAUUCACUUAUGUUCUUACUUGAUUGUCUUCUACAGUUCUACUACUUUGUUUGUUUUUAUUACUUUGAUUUAUCCCCCCUCUAUCUAAGAUUUAAAUACACUGGAAGUAAAAAAUAGUCAUAUUAAAAAAAUAAAGCUGUCGGAAACAUUAUAUUUACAAGUUCAUUGAAUUAACUAAUGACUGGACCUUUGAACAAGAAAAGAAAACGUACUACAACAGGCCUUAAUUUCUAGCAGUACUGUUCUUUUGAAUCUACUGAUCAACCAGAAAAGUCCAGUAUUAUAGAAGCCUUUAAAAACAGCUGAAUUUUGCAGCACAGAAGUAGAAUAGAGAAAGAUUUUGUUAGGAGGAGAAAAAUUAUUGUCACUGUCAAUCAAAUUACAGCAGGUUUCAAAUUCCUACCACAACAAUUAUGGUAGCAUACUCUGAUUCUUUCAAAAUUUGGUUCAUGGCUUGGAUCAGGUUGAAAACCAGCAUAGCAGAUUAUGAAAAAAGUGUGGAAUAUUUUUUUGGGGGGGGUUAGGCUUGUCCUGAAAUGCUUCUUUGUUCUACACACUUUGAAGUCUGUGAGGUUGGAUCUCCCAGUCAUCAGCUGUGAAAGUUUACAAUAGCUAUUAGCACACUUUCAACAUAGAACAAAAAGAUGAUAGAGUUUAUUUACUAUUAAAAUUCAUGUUAUACCCCAUAAAAGUAAAGUCUUUGAUAGAGGGCAGUUUGCAUCUCCUUAUGCCAUCAGUAAUAGUUGCAACUAUAAUAAUUAUGCUUUCCCAUAGUGAAAAGUCCUCCUGAGUGAACAGGACUUUGUAAUGAAGUAAUUUGACAAUAAGCAAGAGUUAUACCUGUGCACACAGAACAGCAACAAAACCUCUUGAACACACAAUAGAGGAACAAGUGGAAUAUUAUAAAUGAGACAAUUUAUCUGGACUUUAAAAAAGUAUUUGAUAUAGUUCCUCAUGGAAAUUAUUUGUUAAAUCAGAGCACAUGGGGGAUAGCAAAAGAAUUAUAAAAUAAGCAAUUAACCAAGAGGAGUCAGGUUAUGGCAAAAAGGAUAACUGCCUGUCCAUCAGGAGCUGACCAGGACAAUUUUGACCUUGAAAUUUAUAACAGUCAGUAUUUUCUUUACUGACUAUAGCACAGAAAAAAAGCCAAACUAAUGAAUAUGCUGACAGCAUACACCUGGGAAUCUACUUCAUUAGGAAAGUGGACAAGAAAACCAUACAGAAAGAAUUAGAUGACCUUGGAAACAGAAGUAAUAUAAAUGAGUUGAAACUGAAUAGUAUAAUAUAGAAAGCUGUGCACAUAAGGACUAAGAAGAAGCUUAGAGCUCAUCAACAGCAAAAGAGAGAGGAUGAAAAAAACCCACAAACUAUCCUUGUCAAUAGGAUAGUUAUAAAUAUGCAACACAGUAUAAUUGUACAGUGUUAUGUAUAUAUGAACGCAUUUUUCUUAUAAAAUAUGUACGUGUGUAUAUAACAUACGUAUAUGUUUAUUGUUUAUCAUACAUUUAUCAUGCAUAUCAUACAAUUAUGUAGGAGAGAAAAGGUGUUAAGUUUCAUGAGGAAACUAUUGAUGCUGUUUUACAAGGUACUGGUAAGAAUUAACAUGAACUCAUACAUACACUAAUGUGGUCUACAAAUGGUUUUGGAUGGACAGAUUGUCAGUAACCCUCAAUUUUUUAAUGUAUAAUAAUAUAUCCUGCUGAGUUUUUGUGUUACUCAUCAAAUUGAACAGUGAUCU
Long non-coding RNA from Gallus gallus (chicken), 2718 nucleotides. RefSeq lists it as uncharacterized. The record is from RefSeq and is a predicted model, not a curated record. The transcript is spliced from 5 exons. NCBI's taxonomy places the organism in Eukaryota, Metazoa, Chordata, Aves, Galliformes, Phasianidae.